RNAcentral lists this ribosomal RNA (720 nucleotides) under uncultured Bacilli bacterium. RNAcentral describes it as "bacterial SSU rRNA". It matches the Rfam family "Bacterial small subunit ribosomal RNA", at positions 65 to 771 of the family's 1533-position model. The record is from RNAcentral. Lineage: Bacteria; Bacillati; Bacillota; Bacilli.
AACGGACGAGGAGCUUGCUUCUCUGAUGUUAGCGGCGGACGGGUGAGUAACACGUGGAUAACCUACCUAUAAGACUGGGAUAACUUCGGGAAACCGGAGCUAAUACCGGAUAAUAUUUUGAACCGCAUGGUUCAAAAGUAAAAGACGGUCUUGCUGUCACUUAUAGAUGGAUCCGCGCUGCAUUAGCUAGUUGGUAAGGUAACGGCUUACCAAGGCAACGAUGCAUAGCCGACCUGAGAGGGUGAUCGGCCACACUGGAACUGAGACACGGUCCAGACUCCUACGGGAGGCAGCAGUAGGGAAUCUUCCGCAAUGGGCGAAAGCCUGACGGAGCAACGCCGCGUGAGUGAUGAAGGUCUUCGGAUCGUAAAACUCUGUUAUUAGGGAAGAACAUAUGUGUAAGUAACUGUGCACAUCUUGACGGUACCUAAUCAGAAAGCCACGGCUAACUACGUGCCAGCAGCCGCGGUAAUACGCAGGUGGCAAGCGUUAUCCGGAAUUAUUGGGCGUAAAGCGCGCGUAGGCGGUUUUUUAAGUCUGAUGUGAAAGCCCACGGCUCAACCGUGGAGGGUCAUUGGAAACUGGAAAACUUGAGUGCAGAAGAGGAAAGUGGAAUUCCAUGUGUAGCGGUGAAAUGCGCAGAGAUAUGGAGGAACACCAGUGGCGAAGGCGACUUUCUGGUCUGUAACUGACGCUGAUGUGCGAAAGCGUGGGGAUCAA